UACGGAGGGUGCUAGCGUUGUUCGGAAUUAUUGGGCGUAAAGAGCGUGUAGGCGGCCUCGUAAGUCAGAUGUGAAAGCCCUUGGCUUAACCAAGGAAGGGCAUUUGAAACUGCUUGGCUUGAGUACGGGAGGGGGAAGCGGAAUUCCCGGUGUAGAGGUGAAAUUCGUAGAUAUCGGGAGGAACACCGGUGGCGAAGGCGGCUUCCUGGACCGAUACUGACGCUGAGACGCGAAAGCGUGGGGAGCAAACAGG
This 253-nucleotide ribosomal RNA is filed under the name uncultured bacterium. Its description in RNAcentral is "partial 16S ribosomal RNA". It matches the Rfam family "Bacterial small subunit ribosomal RNA", at positions 524 to 776 of the family's 1533-position model. The record is from RNAcentral.